This 40-nucleotide transfer RNA is filed under the name Lathyrus oleraceus subsp. oleraceus. RNAcentral's name for it is "Pisum sativum subsp. sativum partial transfer RNA-His". The record is from RNAcentral. Lineage: Eukaryota; Viridiplantae; Streptophyta; Magnoliopsida; Fabales; Fabaceae.
CCAAGUGGAUCAAGGCAGUGGAUUGUGAAUCCACCAUGCA